GGGAGUAUAGCUCAAUGGUAGAGCAGUUGACUUUUAAUCAACCGGUUAUAGGUUCGAUCCCUAUUGUUCUCA
This 72-nucleotide transfer RNA is filed under the name Sphingobacteriaceae bacterium. RNAcentral describes it as "tRNA-Lys". It matches the Rfam family "tRNA". Rfam says of the family: Transfer RNA (tRNA) molecules are approximately 80 nucleotides in length. Their secondary structure includes four short double-helical elements and three loops (D, anti-codon, and T loops). The record is from RNAcentral. Lineage: Bacteria; Pseudomonadati; Bacteroidota; Sphingobacteriia; Sphingobacteriales; Sphingobacteriaceae.